Molecule: ribosomal RNA, 106 nt
Filed under: Erinaceus europaeus (western European hedgehog)
Lineage: Eukaryota; Metazoa; Chordata; Mammalia; Eulipotyphla; Erinaceidae
Source: RNAcentral
GUCUACUGCCAUACCACCCUGAACACAUCCGAUCUCGUCUGAUCUCAGAAGCUAAGCAGGGUCGGGCCUGGCUAGUACUUGGAUGGGAGAAAAGGUGAUGUUAAAA